UGGAGAGUGGAAUCGCCGCGACGAGGGAGAGAAGUCUGGUCGUUGUGAAGUAAGCUGCACAGAGAGAACAUCUGCACUUUGCAAAUCCUCCGCGGCCUUGCGAGUCGUGAGUUUGCAUGCAACAAUAUCAUAAUAUUAGUUUUAAAAAUGUUAAUGCAAUAUAGCGCAGCGUCACUGCGAUCGAGCGAGUCGAUAAGCCAGUAUAACGAUAAGAGCGAUAACGUCGAUCAAAAUCGCGAGAUGUUGAAAAAAAAAGACCAUUUAUAGACCCGUAUCGAUCGGACGAUUAAAGAUGAUUGUUCGAGCGUAUAUUUCACGCGUUUCGUAACGCGCGUCGAGAGUGUUUGUACAGUAUUUGCUUAAUUUUCGGAUGAUUAAAUUUAUUCGAUCUUCGUCGCGAUUGCGCGGAUAAAAACAAAACGCAAUCGCGAUGAUUACAUUUAUUGAACGCGGAUGAAUACGCAGAUAAACGGCGAUUUCACGCUCGCCGCACGUGUUGCCCCUUGAAUUAAUCGAUCGUUUUAUAAUUUGGAAAAAAUAAAAUAAAAUAAUAACUUAGUCGAAAACUCUAGUCGGAAAACUCUAGUCGGAAUUCACAGCGAACAACGAGUGCAGUGUCGCGCGCGUAAAGGGGCAUGGAAUUUCUGCGUCUUUCGUAAUGGCCAUUUAUAGCACGACGACACGCGUUGCCUCGCAAUUAUUGUAAACAACUCGGUACGCGUGGUCUCCUCGAUAUUCGACGACGAGAUAGAGGAAUUUCAAAAUUCCGUUUGGAUUUUUCACUAAAAUUGAAACUCGGAUAUUUCUUGUGCAGUUUGUCCCAAAUCCGCGUCUUUUCGCCUUUACGACGCGUAUUCGGCCGAUGUGUUUAUACCGAUAGCUACGGCGCUGCAGGUGCAGUUUGUUUUAGCAGCGAAGACGUUUAUUUAUGGAGAAGAGUAAUUUAUCGAGGACUGUCGUUAUAGACUUCAUUGUUAAUUGACAUUGCACUAAGGAAAAGCAAUUCAUUCCUUUAUGUGUGCGCAGUGUAUACAUGGAAGUAUGCGCCGAACAAAGCGCCUAUUAUGGUUUCAUCUUGCGCGGGACUGUACGUAUUAUACAAUUUCUGCGGUUCAUCGAUUUUCCUCUACACAUUUAUUGUCGCAACACCGUUAAGAAAUAUUUUCAUUCGAAUCGCGCGCGUGACUGCGGACGAAAAAAGAAUCGCGGACGUGAUUUUUCAAACGGUCGUACGAUAAACUUGCGCACAUCUAUACGCAGCAGCGAUAUCGUCGUUUUCUAUUUAAAAACGCGGCGCUCGAAGCGUCGUCGAACUGCAAAAAAAAAAAAGAACGAAUCGCCAAGACGCCAGAAAAUUAUGCAAAACAUCGCGGAAGUCGUUUGCGCGCGUCUCUUUUUGCACACUGCGCUGCAGGCGGCCGCGACAUUGUCAACAAUGAGCGAGGCAUUAAGAACAAUUUUUUUUAACGCGUAAUUAGCUGCGGAUCGUGAUGAAUUUGCGCGAGCGUCUUUUGUAAUGAAUGUGUCGUCGGCGCAAACAAAGCCUCGUUCGGCUUGGACAAGUGGGAUGUGUAGAAUCGGCAUUCGUUACACAUUUCAUUAUAACCUAAUAAACAAUUAUAAAAAAACAAAAUCAAAAUUUAAUCGUCAUAUUCGUGUGGAGCCAAUGACGCUGCGAAAGAAAAAAAAAAGUUUCUCACACACGAUAACACAGAGACGAAUCGAGCGCGCGAGCAAAGUUUGCCGCUCGAACAAAGUACAAGGCACGUCCCUCGACUCUCUUUCUCGGCGUUGCAGUCAAGCGCAGGCUUUCGUACGUGUAUAAUACGACGACGGCCGCUUUAAUGACUUCUUUGCGACUAUAAUUAUCUUCCUCGUAUACACACUCAUUGUGCGCGCGCGCGUGUAUACGUCGUCGCGGAACUUGCCUCGUGCGCCGCCGCUGCUCACCUGUUAAUAGGAUCAGCCGAGGGUAGCUUUAUAAUCGCGCGAAAAUGAAUUCGUAAUCGACGGUAUAGCCUAAUCGCUGCUCUGGGCUGAGUUGACUUACUUAUUGAAUUGCAAAAAAAAAAAAAACAACAAUCCGGGUGGUGGGCCCUCGACGUGUAUAAACAAACUUAUGUAAAUAAUAAAUCGCCUUACAUAACCCGCGCUGUGGAGUCAUGAAAAUUUAAAAGACUAUACCAGCGGGUAUAACUCUCGCGCGUGAUGUCACUCCCCGCGCGCGCGCGUCACGAGUGCAUUGUAAGCUCUACGUCCCCCGCAAUAACGUCACCGAACUCAGCGUCCGCUAAUUGGGUAUCCCGCGCGACGACGCACUGGGCAUAAACAACGACUGGUAUAUAGAGGAAAGGGCAGAUAUAACACGUCACACACCUCGUCUGUUAUUACGACGUCUGUUUCUGUAUGCAGCAGCAUGAUCUGCGCACGGAGAAAAAAAAACACACCUGUUGACCACGUGUCCGCGGACCUGUUCUAUAAUCUGGCUUGAAGCCAGAGCUUUGCAGAUUUUCUUCUCUCGAAUCUCCAUUGAUAAGCGCAAUUUGGGCAUGAUAUCGAUAGUUCAUUGAUUUAUGUGUGCGACUGAAUGCCUCGCGAUUGGAGUGUUCCACUCUGGAGGGGAAAAACUGAUGCGAGCGUGUAAUGAAUCAAUAGCGUAAUUACUGACAAUAGCUAAUGAAAACGUGUGUAUACGAAGGGAGAUGUGUAAUACAUAAUUCAAUUUAAUUUCAACGCAUGAAGCUCUUUGUAUUCCCAUUAAUUUCAGUGCGGGAAUCGUUGUGUAUACGUUAAGGGAGUGAGAGAGAGAUAGAAACACAAUUUUCUACGAUGUAUUCCACGUAGCCAUUAAACUCGAGAAUCGCUGAGUCAACGAUGAAAUAAUUUUCCGAAAAGCAAUCGUGAAAAAUUUGGCGUAGAAAAAACGCGACUUGCAUUAUUAAGGCCGAUAAAAAGAUAACGUUCCUGAAAUGAAGGAGCUAUAUAGGACCUUGAGAAAAUCUUAUAAUAUACUCGCGGGGACGGUGUUGGUUCCGAAAAAUCAAUAGACGCCACAUUCCGUACAUCGUUAAAUAGCCAGCAACGUAUUCCGCGCACGUGACCGUAAUCGAGGGGGGUCAGCUCUGCGGAGAGAGUAUAAUACUCGUAUACACAUACCGAGAAAAACGCUUCUCUAUUUACAUUGAAAAUUUAUACAUCGCGAGCACGAAUGAGUUACACGUUAUUACUUUUUGCGCUCUCUCUCUCUCGAUUCUUUUAUAAUACCCCACGCGCGAGCUUAUCGUUGCCACCUCUGCAUCGGCUAACAGCACGACGACACGAAAUGGUCUUUAUUUUUUAUUUUUAAAUGUAGAGCUUGAUAAGCUUCGAACGAGACGGCAUUUUUCGCUAUUUAAUAUUAUAUAAAACGAACGCGAAUUACGGUUGAGAAGAGAAGGAGAGGCAAUUUUUCCCAGCUCUUCGGCCGACCGGAAGCCUUAAUCUUUGAAGAAACUCGACAAGUCGCAAGGAAGUGCGCAGCGAGCUUUCAAAGACAGGCCCGAAAGCAGGUGGUUAUUUCUGUCGCGCGAGAAAGCUCGUAGCCGCGCGAUCUCACACACAUGCACGUGGCUUCGUUUCGCUCGUAAAUCACGCCCCCACUGCGCUCUUUUGUAAGAUUUAUAUAAAAAAGAUCAAGGCCCGAGAGCUUUGAAUCGGGAGAGUUGAGACAGCGCUGUAAAGUUCUUUUUCGUUUUCUUCUAUGCUUCUUCUUUGGCUGACUUUGUGUGUGUGUGUGUGUGUGUGUGUGUGUGUGGUUGAGCUGUUGGUUGGAAAGAGGCGAGGAAGCGGACUUUGUUUUAAUUUAUGGGCGAUAAAUAAUUAACGGAAUGUACUGCGGAUCGGAAAUUGUGGGCAGUACGGGCUGAUAAUCACAUCUCUGUACACUGGGUAAUUAUUUACUCGAAGAAUAAUUUAACGCUUCGAAGCCUUCGCUAUAGGUUGAAGUGUAAACAUCGCUUUGGUAGGGAAUUAUUGAACAAAAAUAAGCCUUUUUCAUAGAAUUUUUAUCAAUGAAGUGCUGUUUCUGAAGCUAUAUGCGAGUGACUUUUUAUUGAUAAUUUACAUGAUUUGAACUGUUUCAUGAACCUAUAUGUGCUUCAAUCGUUAUGAAAAAGAAAUAGAUUAAAAAAAAAAAAACAAACCUAUAGAAAUUAAUCCAACGGGAGCCAAAACGUAGAUACCGCGCAUGUACCCUCGUAUAAGGAGGCUGAUAAAAAAGAGCGCUUAUUUAUUCGUGUGCGUACGCGUGCACGUGCGCGGCCGAUCGAUGAUGUCGACGAGUCUUCGGUUUGGCCUUCGCCGACGUCUAGUAUUAUAACUCCGGGGGUAGCACAGUAGUAAGUAGUAGCACAAGCCGCCUCGAGAAAAAGUUGGAGAAGGAAAUAAAAGCAAGACAGCUGUAGCAGCACGUGGACGCGCGGAAAUAAGAGAAGUACAUAGUGCUGAGCAAAAAACAGAACUUGUUAAGGUAUUACGCGGAACUUUGCUCGCGAAGGGAUUCUUUUUUCAAAAUUUCAGCACAUUAGUUUCCUCUUAAUAGUUUCCAUCGUUUCGUAGAUGAUUGUGAAGUUUCGACUCAUACAUUCCCAGCAAUUUUGAAUGAAUGAAGUACAAAUGGAAAUGACUGAAUCGAUAUCGAUAGGGAAAUUGUAAAACCCUCAAUUACGAUCGGCGGUCGCAAGGUCGUCGUCGAUUUAAUGCCCUCUGGAAUUCCAAUUUUCCGAAAUCACGCUCAAUCAAGCGAGCAAUCGGAAAUUACCCAUCCACCGUCGUGUGCCGUACAAUCUAUACACUCGCAUCGCGAUGAAAAAGCCUUCCCUCUUUUCUUCGUAAAAAACGGAUCGAUUCAAUCAAUCAAAGCGCCAUCAACGCAACGAAGCAAUUCACUAAAAAAAAA
RNAcentral lists this long non-coding RNA (4936 nucleotides) under Nasonia vitripennis (jewel wasp). Its description in RNAcentral is "uncharacterized LOC116738608". The record is from RNAcentral. Lineage: Eukaryota; Metazoa; Arthropoda; Insecta; Hymenoptera; Pteromalidae.